UCCCUGGUGGUUUAGUGGUUAAGCAUCUGCCUGCCAAUUCAGUGACCCAGGUUCGAUCCCUGGCCAGGGAA
This 71-nucleotide transfer RNA is filed under the name Bos taurus (domestic cattle). It matches the Rfam family "tRNA". Rfam says of the family: Transfer RNA (tRNA) molecules are approximately 80 nucleotides in length. Their secondary structure includes four short double-helical elements and three loops (D, anti-codon, and T loops). Lineage: Eukaryota; Metazoa; Chordata; Mammalia; Artiodactyla; Bovidae. The record is from Rfam by way of RNAcentral. RNAcentral also lists the same sequence under 2 other names.